GCCUGGUGGUUCCCAGAGUCAGCUCCACAGUGCUGAACUGUGGGUUUUUUUUAUAAACAGGCACAUAUUGAUUCUGCAAUUUUAUGCAUGGAGGCUGUCACAAUUGCAGCUUUCCAUAGCCCGGUUGCAGAUACACUC
Small nucleolar RNA from Solea solea (common sole), 138 nucleotides. RefSeq annotates it as small nucleolar RNA SNORA84. The record is from RefSeq and is a predicted model, not a curated record. The transcript has a single exon. Lineage: Eukaryota; Metazoa; Chordata; Actinopteri; Pleuronectiformes; Soleidae.